GGGCACAUGGUGUAGUUGGUUAUCACAUCCGCUUAGCAUUUGGUCUCUGCGGAAUGCUUCUGCGGGGGGUGCUGGGUUCAAUUCCCAGUGUGUCCA
Non-coding RNA from Marasmius sp. AFHP31, 96 nucleotides. NCBI's taxonomy places the organism in Eukaryota, Fungi, Basidiomycota, Agaricomycetes, Agaricales, Marasmiaceae. The record is from the annotation of a GenBank genome assembly.